AUUGAACGCUGGCGGCAUGCCUUACACAUGCAAGUCGAACGGUAACAGGUCUUCGGAUGCUGACGAGUGGCGAACGGGUGAGUAAUACAUCGGAACGUGCCUAGUAGUGGGGAUAACUACUCGAAGGAGUGGCUAAUACCGCAUGAGAUCUACGGAUGAAAGCAGGGGAUCGCAAGACCUUGUGCUACUAGAGCGGCCGAUGGCAGAUUAGGUAGUUGGUGGGAUAAAAGCUUACCAAGCCGACGAUCUGUAGCUGGUCUGCGAGGACGAUCAGCCACACUGGGACUGAGACACGGCCCAGACUCCGACGGGAGGCAGCAGUGGGGAAUUUUGGACAAUGGGCGCAAGCCUGAUUCAGCAAUGCCGCGUGCAGGAUGAAGGCCUUCGGGUUGUAAACUGCUUUUGUACGGAACGAAAAGCCCCGGGUUAAUACCCUGGGGUCAUGACGGUACCGUAAGAAUAAGCACCGGCUAACUACGUGCCAGCCGCCGCCGUAA
This 497-nucleotide ribosomal RNA is filed under the name uncultured bacterium. RNAcentral describes it as "partial 16S ribosomal RNA". It matches the Rfam family "Bacterial small subunit ribosomal RNA", at positions 30 to 523 of the family's 1533-position model. The record is from RNAcentral.